GGGCUCUAGGUGAGCAGGGAAAGACCAUUAAAAUCAAUGGCUUAACGAUUAUCCGCACACCACCUUGACAUGGUGGGGGUCGUUGGUUCGAGUCCAAUUGUGCCUACCA
RNAcentral lists this transfer RNA (109 nucleotides) under Pseudomonas putida. RNAcentral's name for it is "tRNA-Val". Lineage: Bacteria; Pseudomonadati; Pseudomonadota; Gammaproteobacteria; Pseudomonadales; Pseudomonadaceae. The record is from RNAcentral. RNAcentral also lists the same sequence under 1 other name.